RNAcentral lists this ribosomal RNA (472 nucleotides) under uncultured bacterium. Its description in RNAcentral is "bacterial SSU rRNA". It matches the Rfam family "Bacterial small subunit ribosomal RNA", at positions 30 to 506 of the family's 1533-position model. The record is from RNAcentral.
UUGAACGCUGGCGGCAGGCCUAACACAUGCAAGUCGAGCGGGGGUAGCAAUACCCUAGCGGCGAACGGGUGAGGAAUGCUUGGGAAUCUGCCUCGUAGUGGGGGAUAACGUUCCGAAAGGAACGCUAAUACCGCAUACGUCCUACGGGAGAAAGGGGGGGAUCUUCGGACCUCUCGCUAUGAGAUGAGCCCAAGCGGGAUUAGCUAGUUGGUGAGGUAAAGGCUCACCAAGGCUACGAUCCCUAGCUGGUCUGAGAGGAUGAUCAGCCACACUGGAACUGAGACACGGUCCAGACUCCUACGGGAGGCAGCAGUGGGGAAUAUUGGACAAUGGGCGAAAGCCUGAUCCAGCCAUGCCGCGUGUGUGAAGAAGGCCUUCGGGUUGUAAAGCACUUUAAGCGAGGAGGAAGGUUCGUUACUUAAUACGUAACGGAAUUGACGUUACUCGCAGAAUAAGCACCGGCUAACUCUGU